This 741-nucleotide long non-coding RNA is filed under the name Heterocephalus glaber (naked mole-rat). Its description in RNAcentral is "lncRNA (ENSHGLG00000048992.1)". The record is from RNAcentral. Lineage: Eukaryota; Metazoa; Chordata; Mammalia; Rodentia; Bathyergidae.
GGAAUACUAGAUACACUUACUGACUGGGGGAUUUGACCAGCAGUUGGCUGCAUUUCCAGCUAAGUCGUCAGCCUGGAUAUUGAUGAAUUUUUUUAAUAAGAGAACAUCUCUUUUUAUCUCUGUCUCUGUCAAAAGUGAGUGAACACAGGACAUAGUGUUCACAGUUGAAGGAGCAGGUACCUCCAUAAAUCCGUUUCUCCAUGAGAACAACAAAAACAGCGAAACAAAAUACCCAGUCAACUUUUUCCGAACUCUGGAAGUCAACCAAAGCACCAUCCAGUGAAAUUACAAACCCAUCCUGAAUUGAAAUCUAAGCCAUACCAAGAUCAUGGGACCUGUGGCUGGUUGCCUGUGUUUUCCUCCUGGAUUCUAAAGGGCCCCUCCAAAGGACAAAGGUGUGGAAUCCAUGUGAGCCACCUGAGGCCAAGGUGCGGCUUUACAGAGGCAGCAGCGGCAGCAGCGGCGGCAGCAGCGCAGCUCCAUAUUCCCAAAUCCCUUCCCCUUUCUCUUUUUCCUUCUCCAAUUUAUCCAUUGCUUUCCUGAGCCUCCUAAGAUAGCAGUAGAUUUACAAAUGGGCUAUUAGAGAUGUGAGAUGUUUUUUGCAAAUUAGUAAACAUACAUCAUUCGUUAGUCAUAAACAAUAGAUUUUGAGGAACUGUCCUACAAUUAACAAUCUCAUUUCAUUUUUGAUGUACUUUAUUCAUGACGAGGUCUCAUCUUACUUUCAAUUCUCCAAAGGUG